Molecule: long non-coding RNA, 940 nt
Filed under: Equus caballus (horse)
Lineage: Eukaryota; Metazoa; Chordata; Mammalia; Perissodactyla; Equidae
Description: lncRNA (ENSECAG00000054655.1)
Source: RNAcentral
GUGUAAAGAAUACUACCACUUAUAUUUUACCUGAUGUAAUAGCUAUAGGUAUAGAAUUGUAGAGAGAUAUAUAUACAUAUAGACGUAGAUAUAGAUGUGUGCUCAGAAUAAUUCAGGAAAGCUAGUUAAGAAAGUGGUAACUGGUUGCCUCUGGGAAAAGAAACCAGGGGGCUGGCAGCAGGGAUAAGACAGAUAUUUUUCACCGUGUAUCUUAUUCACAGUUGAAUUUUGCAUGACGUACUGCUUUAAAAAUAAUGAAAUGCAUGAGAGCUCUCUUCGAAGCCAGCCACUGGAGAAAGAAGCUAGAGUAUUGAACAAUGCAGGACCAUGUGAAAAGAGGAGCUCAGCCAAUACCUAUACCAAGGCCCAGAUAUAAGGGUGAAGCCAUCCUGGACAUGCCAGCCUCAGAAUUCCAGAGCAGCUUGGCUGGACAGUUCUCUCCUGAGACCUCUCACAAGGUUGCAACCAGAUGGCUAGAGCGGCAGCCAUCAGGAGGCUGGACAGUGAUGGAGGAUCCACCUGCACUCCCCCGCAUGGCUGGCUUGUAGUAAAAUGUUUGCACUGAAAUCAGUAAAGUAAACCUUUGUACACUAUGUGGAAAUUAAUAAACAGAAACUUUAUUAAAAUGGAGACAGGAGGCUAAAAGAGGAAGCUCUGACACCCUGUGAAGAUAGCAGGGCCCAACAGGAAGAAAGACUUUCUCUUCUUGUCAGCAACAGCUCAGGCCUAUGAGAGACUACCACAACUCAGCCAAGGAGAAGCAACUACACUUCCAACUCCCGGUCCCCUCCAACGAACUCUUUCUUUACUUUCGCCCUCCCAACUUGCUCUUCCCCUCUACAAAAGAGUUUCUCCUCUCCUUGCUGCACCAGGACUUGCAGAUGGCUUGGCAUGGUUGUAGACCUCAGAUUGCAGUUCUUUGCUGAUCCCAAAUAAACCC